GUUUCUAUUUUCAUAGAGAUGUAAGUCAAAUUGUUAUGGUUUGUUAAAACGGCUGGGCCUUACUCUCCAAGGAGAGAUAGACCCAAAAAACGUCAAUAAUGCACAAGUGGUAGUUCUUUCCUAUAUGGCACCUAAUAAGUAUUGAUCAAAGAUCAAUACCUCAAAGGCUUUUUGGCCUAUAUAGGAAAAGAAUCAGUAAUGAUCCAACCGCAGGUUCACCUACGGUUA
This 228-nucleotide unclassified non-coding RNA is filed under the name uncultured fungus. RNAcentral's name for it is "sequence contains ITS1". Lineage: Eukaryota; Fungi. The record is from RNAcentral.